Non-coding RNA from Pelobates cultripes (western spadefoot toad), 391 nucleotides. NCBI's taxonomy places the organism in Eukaryota, Metazoa, Chordata, Amphibia, Anura, Pelobatidae. The record is from the annotation of a GenBank genome assembly.
AUCCCUUUAUUUUUUGUACUUCAAACUUGAUUAGUACUAGGGAACAGUGCAAUCUUUAGUCUCAGCUGUUUUAUCUGCAACUACCCUAGCCUGAUAUUGGUUUCAUAUUAUUGUUUAGCAACUAACAAUGCUCAUGCCUAGACAGCGAGCCCUCUGUAAGCAGAGACCUUCCUAGCUGCACAUUAAUCCUGCCACCUCAGGGAGUUGGCUUACUCUGUUCUCUGCCCUCGGCCCUCACCUAACAUCAGCAGACAACACGUACUAGCGCUCUAUGCUUUAUAUAUAGUUGAUGUCAACCAUGCCAUUGUUUAAUGAUCAUUUUGUUUUUCUUUACUCUCUCCAUUUUAUAUGCACAACUGGUGUGGUGUGUUGUGUGGUGUGUGGUGCAGCG